GACGAACGCUGGCGGCGUGCCUAAUACAUGCAAGUAGAACGCUGAAGGAGGAGCUUGCUUCUCCGGAUGAGUUGCGAACGGGUGAGUAACGCGUAGGUAACCUGCCUGGUAGCGGGGGAUAACUAUUGGAAACGAUAGCUAAUACCGCAUAACAGUAGAUGUUGCAUGACAUUUGCUUAAAAGGUGCAAUUUCAUCACUACCAGAUGGACCUGCGUUGUAUUAGCUAGUUGGUGAGGUAACGGCUCACCAAGGCGACGAUACAUAGCCGACCUGGGAGGGUGAUCGGCCACACUGGGACUGAGACACGGCCCAGAAUCCUACGGGAGGCAGCAGUAGGGAAUCUUCGGCAAUGGACGGAAGUCUGACCGAGCAACGCCGAGUGAGGGAAGAAGGUUUUCGGAUCGUAAAGAUCUGUUGUAAGAGAAGAACGAGUGGGAGAGUGGAAAGUUCACACUGUGACGGUAUCUUACCAGAAAGGGACGGCUAACUACGUG
This 495-nucleotide ribosomal RNA is filed under the name uncultured bacterium. RNAcentral describes it as "partial 16S ribosomal RNA". It matches the Rfam family "Bacterial small subunit ribosomal RNA", at positions 28 to 507 of the family's 1533-position model. The record is from RNAcentral.